GAGAGACCUAAAACUUACUCAUCCAAUGGGUUUUGAGAAGGAGAUGGUGAGUGGGGAGAGAGGACGCGAGGAGUAUGCAAUUGAGCAUCUCCUUAUCACUCGGAUGCAUCAGCAGACGGGAUGGGAUAGACCGUAAACAACUUUUUUUCAAAUUAAAGUCGAACGAUUUGAUCCCCAGUCAUCUCUUGCCUACUCAUCAGGGGAGUCGAACCAACAGUCCAACGAACCAGUUGCAUUUGAUCUACAAUCUUUAAGUCAACUAUGGUUUUAACAGCGCACUGGUUAACGUUAGGUGUUGGUCAAUAUGCCCUUACAGUGGGAGCAGCAACAGUCUCCACGCCUGCUCUGUUGGGUCUGGGGGUAAUAGCUGCUGUCACAGUUGGCUGCUAUUACGUCUACAAAACUGGUCAUGAGAAAGAAAGGGGAAACCAGAAGAACGCAUGAUGUGACCCUGCCCCCUGCUGGAGGAUUCAGACAUCACAACAGAACUCCACAACGCUAGAUAAUCAUAGUUUGUGUUUCAAGGUGUUGUUGUGUUGAGAGCAUGGAACUGUGUUAAAAAUUAAAUGUGCAGUUGCAUUUUCA
Oncorhynchus masou masou (cherry salmon) is the source of this 585-nucleotide long non-coding RNA. RefSeq lists it as uncharacterized. The record is from RefSeq and is a predicted model, not a curated record. Lineage: Eukaryota; Metazoa; Chordata; Actinopteri; Salmoniformes; Salmonidae. The transcript has 3 exons.